AAGUCUUCUUCAUUAUUGUUUUUCUUGUAGAACAAAUGUUGUGGUGUGCUUAAUGGACAGUCUGAUUGGGGAUCAAAUGUUGCUAUUUACAGUGGCUGUGAAUGUGAGAAGAAAGACAUAGGUACGAGUUACUGCAAUGGAAAUGUGUAUAAAAAGAGUUGUUCAGCUGUAAUUAUAGAAAUCUUCAAGAACAAUAUGGUCAUAGUUAUGGGGAUAGCAUUUGGACUGGCAUUUAUUGAGAUUGUUGGUCUGGUGUUUUCAAUGAGCCUUUACUGCCAGAUCCAGAACAAAUGAAACCAUGGAAGUGUCAGAAAUAUGUCAUCAACCAAGUGAGAAAGCUUUGUAAAUUGAGGAAUUGGUAUUUGGUUUGGCACCCACCAAUAAAUGACAGAAGUAGCUGCGAUGAUAACCACAGAAGCACUAAUGGAAAAAGAUACUUCAUGAGUUAUGAGUUCCAAAUCUGUUUAAAAUUAGAGAAAUUAAUGAUCUGUAGCUGGAUUUUUUUAAAAUUUUGGGGUGUUUGUGUUUUGGGAUGGUGGUAUUUUGUAACCUAUUUGAAGAUUACACCUCAAAAAAAAAAAGCACUUGCUCCAUAUUGUGCUGACCCAACAAAUUGUUUUCUACUUAUCUGGUAACUAUACCUGUUUUCUGAAUUAAAGUUGCUGUCUACUUCACCAUUUCAACUAACAAAGUUUAUAGUUGUAUAUAUGUGUGCACACACACACAAAUAUAUACAAGAAAAAUUCUUGCUUUCCAACUCUGCAUGCAGAGACACAUAUACAUGUUUCACCUUUUAACAUUGCUGAAAUGCUGUGAAACCUGCCUGCUCUUUGAACAAAUUGAUCAAUCAGUCUGUCCAAUCAAUCCAAUGGAGUCAGAUUAUCUGCAUCACUAGAGGUUGACUUGAGAGAUGCAAGCAAGCUUUCAACAGUAACUCUUGAAAAGUCAGAGCAGGCAGUCUCUAUGAAGUUGGCUGUUUUUCCUUACAGCAUAAUCCCUAUACAUAUUAAAGUUAAAUGGUACUUUCUCUUAAGAAAGGAGGUAUUGGAUUACAGCUUUAAUUUUCUCAGAAGAAACAAAGAUUUCUUUCCUGGCAUUAUUUCACAGCUUAUGGGUAAACUGGGAUAGCCAUUUAGCAAGCAAUAGCUUACUAAACAGUUUAAAUUAUGCCAAGCUGAGUCAGUUGUUAAUCUCUUGCUAAGAGACAACAAUGUUACCACUGGUCUGCAACUUAUUUGGAUAACCUGCCUUUUCAAUAAUAAACAUAUAGCAUGUA
This is a long non-coding RNA of Candoia aspera, 1276 nucleotides long. RefSeq lists it as uncharacterized. The record is from RefSeq and is a predicted model, not a curated record. Lineage: Eukaryota; Metazoa; Chordata; Lepidosauria; Squamata; Candoiidae. The transcript is spliced from 3 exons.